AUGAAUAUGAAUUCUAUUGGUCAGGUUGUAAGAAGCAGUAAAGCCACUCUGCUGAAGUGCAGUUUCAGUGAAGUUUCUCCAGCACUGAGGCUAAGUGUAGCAGCAUUAGCAUUAGCUGCUAACUGCAGAGCUAGCUCUUUCACCAUUCAGGUGAAUCAGGCUCAGUCUAAUCCACUGGGCUCAGGACUGGGUUAUCUGGAACACAUCUGCCAGCUUAUAGAGAAGAUCGGCCAGCUACAGGAGCACAACCUCAAACUGCAGAAACAGAUAUGCAGCCUGCAAAAGGACAGCAAGAUGAUGAAGACUAAAGAGGACUUCUUCGUACAGCACUGUCACUGUGGAGCAGCUGGUCUGGCCUUUCAGGAGCUGAAGAGGUAUUCUCGCAGUGAUUACCACAGCCUAGCAGCAUCCAACGGCACGCUGUCUGACCUCAGCACCAUCCCAGAGGGCACACGCAUCCCCCACCGGUCAGGUGGCAGAGAUGGUGAGGGGAGCUGCCAGUCAGUUGUGCCCAUGUGGAGGAGAGGCUUGAAUAGGAGGAGCUACACCGAGGGAGAGACAAGAUACUUCAGUGGCAGCGCUGAGGUCCUCCCUGCCUCUCACAGACGAGUGGAGAGCUACACGUGGGGCAGGGUGAAGGAUCUGAUGAAGAAGACAAGGUUUAGAAACCAAAGCAGACUGGGACUGUCCUCCGGCUCCCUCAAGAGAUCAUGUCCUCAGCUAUACAGGCCUGAACUGGGUCAGAUGGAAUUUUCCAGAAGAGACAGGAACUCCAUGAUUGUCCUGGGCCAUCAGAAACUGGACUAUCACUGGUUUCAUUAGCAUAAAUCAGUUGGACGCUGAACAGAUGGCGUAUGAUGGGGCAACAUUUCCCUGAAGAGGAGGACGCGCUGAAGUUGUACAGAUCCAGGCACAGAAAGACAGUGAGCAGAGGGAGGAUAAGAAGAAGUGGAUGAGAAAGUGAACUGUGAUUGAUGGGAAAAGGGUUAAGAUGCAAAACGGAGGUGACCUUCAAACCUUCAGACCUUGACAUGCACCCAUAUGUACAGUAUGUUUAAAUGAGUGUACUAUGGACAUAUUCAUGUGUCUGCUACAGCAUAUUUGUCAUUCAACACAUGUUAGUGGCCACAUAUGAAUAACAUAUACUUAGAAAUGAAUUUGGGUGUGGCUGUAAAGUCUAUAUAGAAGUAUAUAGAAAUAUAAGAACAUAAGAAUAUAAGAAAUAUCCGCGUAUUACCAUCUGCUCCUAUGUAGAACAUUUUAUUGGGGCAUUUCACUUUUACUUUUUUUAUCUGAACAUUUCUGUGAAAUAUCUUUCAGAAGCAGCAAUAAUAUCAAAAAAUAAAAGUACUAUAUACUGUAUUAAUAACUGUAAA
Molecule: long non-coding RNA, 1376 nt
Filed under: Astyanax mexicanus (Mexican tetra)
Lineage: Eukaryota; Metazoa; Chordata; Actinopteri; Characiformes; Acestrorhamphidae
Description: lncRNA (ENSAMXG00005021519.1)
Source: RNAcentral